Molecule: non-coding RNA, 917 nt
Filed under: Protobothrops flavoviridis
Lineage: Eukaryota; Metazoa; Chordata; Lepidosauria; Squamata; Viperidae
Source: RNAcentral
AAGGUCUUGGUCUUGAACCUCAUAUUACCUAAAAUCAUUUGUUUAUACAUGCAAGCCUCACCACACCGGUGAAACAGCCAUAGAAAUCCAGAGCCGGCAUCAGUUUAUUUACCAUAACGCCAAGCAAUAGCCACACCCCCACGGGCAACACAGCAGUAGUUAACAUUAGGCCAUAAGUGAAAACUUGACCAAGCGAAAUGAACACAAGGGCCGGUUAAUCUCGUGCCAGCGACCGCGGUUACACGAUAGGCCCAAGACAAUAUUAACGGCGUAAAAAUGACUAAAACAACAGUUAUAACUUUAGGGUAAAAACCAAACUAGGCUGUAAAAAGCCAUAAGUCACAUUAAUUUUUUCCCCCCUAACACCAUACAACUUUGACUCAUGAAAGCUAGGACACAAACUAAGAUUAGAUACCCUACUAUGCCUAGCCGUAAUACACAAUUAAAUUACCAAUUGUCCGCCAAACAACUACGAGUCAUACUUAAAACUUAAAAGACUUGACGGUACUUCACCACAACCUAGAGGAGCCUGUCUAAUAACCGACAAUCCACGAUUAACCCCACCCUUUCUCGCCCAACAGUCUAUAUACCGCCGUCGCCAGCUUACCUUGUAAAAGAAAUAAAGUGAGCCAAAGAGUACUACACUAAAACGACAGGUCGAGGUGUAACCAAUGAAAGGGACCAAGAUGGGCUACAUUCUCCCAGCCGAGAAUACGAAUAGCACUAUGAAACUAGUGCCUGAAGGCGGAUUUAGCAGUAAGAUAAGAAUAAAACACCUAACUGAACACAACGCAAUGAAGUGCGCACACACCGCCCGUCAUCCCUGCCACCACAACACUUAUAUCAAUAAACCAACUAAAAAAAUCAAACAGGGCAAGUCGUAACAUGGUAAGUGUACUGGAAAGUGUACUUAGAAA